RNAcentral lists this long non-coding RNA (293 nucleotides) under Phoenix dactylifera (date palm). RNAcentral's name for it is "long non-coding RNA (PDAC_LNC005747)". The record is from RNAcentral. Lineage: Eukaryota; Viridiplantae; Streptophyta; Magnoliopsida; Arecales; Arecaceae.
CAAGACUAAACCAAAAAAGAGAAGGGAUGAAAGAUAAGAGUGGCUUCAGGCGUGUAUCAAGCCAACCAAAUCCCUUCUCCUCCUCUCUCUCUCUCCACCCAAAACAAAACUACUGUCCCCAACUUCCCAAAUUGCCUCUCUGCAGGCCAGGAAACUCUCCACCUCCCUUCCGUCAAGGGGGAAGACUCGUAGCCUUCCAUCAAGGGGGAAGCUCCAGUUCCUGUUUUCACAUGGGGCCUUUGCUUUCUUUUGGUCACGCCUCCCGGAGGCCCUCCAUUGGCCUGAGGCCUUAG